UCUUCGUCUUCUUCUUCUUCUUCUUCUUCUUCUUCAUCAGUAAAUGUGAUCUCAGUUGGUGCAGAAGCCAAUUAACAACCAAGUCCUUUUCUUCUUCUUCUUCUUCUUCUUCUUCUUCUUCUUCUUCUUCUACUACUGUUUUCUCUUUUCUCUUUUCUUUGGUGUACUUGCAGAAAAGAUUUAGUACAAUAAUCUUCUGGAGUGGGGCUUUAUUUCA
Molecule: non-coding RNA, 217 nt
Organism: Musa acuminata subsp. malaccensis (wild Malaysian banana)
Lineage: Eukaryota; Viridiplantae; Streptophyta; Magnoliopsida; Zingiberales; Musaceae
Source: RefSeq, a predicted model, not a curated record